RNAcentral lists this long non-coding RNA (312 nucleotides) under Mytilus galloprovincialis (Mediterranean mussel). The record is from RNAcentral. Lineage: Eukaryota; Metazoa; Mollusca; Bivalvia; Mytilida; Mytilidae.
GCCGUGUGCAAAAAUUCAGCAAGAAACACACAAAACUUGAGCUUUUUCAGAAUUCCUAAAAAAAUUCACGGAAUAAGUGGUUACAUGCCUUAAACUUAGAAGAGGAAGACGUAAAUACGGGAACAAGAAUUUGUUCUGAACAUUUAUUUGCUAGUGAAAAUGUUCCGAGCAACAGUAUCUCCGACCUCUCAAUUGGCCAGCAAAUUUGUAAAAAAUGUGAACGCAAAACUCAAGAUAAAAAAAAUCGAAAGUAAAGCUAAAUAGCAUAGUAGCAGAAGACAUUUAAACUUACUUUGACAAUGAAUCUCGGUC